RNAcentral lists this ribosomal RNA (388 nucleotides) under Gephyrocapsa sp. RNAcentral's name for it is "partial small subunit ribosomal RNA". It matches the Rfam family "Eukaryotic small subunit ribosomal RNA", at positions 582 to 975 of the family's 1831-position model. The record is from RNAcentral. Lineage: Eukaryota; Haptophyta; Isochrysidales; Noelaerhabdaceae.
AUUCCAGCUCCAAUAGCGUAUAUUAAAGUUGUUGCAGUUAAAACGCUCGUAGUCGGAUUUCGGGGCGGGCCGACCGGUCUGCCGAUGGGUAUGCACUGGCCGGCGCGUCCUUCCACCCGGAGACCGCGCCUACUCUUAACUGAGCGGGCGCGGGAGACGGGUCUUUUACUUUGAAAAAAUCAAAGUGUUUCAAGCAGGCAGUCGCUCUUGCAUGGAUUAGCAUGGGAUAAUGAAAUAGGACUCUGGUGCUAUUUUGUUGGUUUCGAACACCGGAGUAAUGAUUAACAGGGACAGUCAGGGGCACUCGUAUUCCGCCGAGAGAGGUGAAAUUCUCAGACCAGCGGAAGACGAACCACUGCGAAAGCAUUUGCCAGGGAUGUUUUCAUCA